RNAcentral lists this long non-coding RNA (42583 nucleotides) under Capsicum annuum. RNAcentral describes it as "long non-coding RNA (CANN_LNC018166)". Lineage: Eukaryota; Viridiplantae; Streptophyta; Magnoliopsida; Solanales; Solanaceae. The record is from RNAcentral.
UGUGAAGAUAAUGUUUGAUAGAAUCUUAUUGGGAAGACAAAGUGUGUGAAUCAUAUUCAGCAAAGUGGGAGAAAAGGUGAAGAAAUUUAAGAGAGGAUUUUGAAGGAUGAAUGAUAGCUCAGCUAGAGAAAUGAAUGAGAGACAACCUCAAAGGCCUUGUGGUUGUGAGGGCAUUUUCUUUCAUCUCUUUGAUCGGAACUAUAGAUUUGCCAAGAAGCUGUUUCUGAAGAAACUGCUUUCACCAGGUUAGCUACUACUACAUUCCACUCAUUUUUAAAGCAGAAUGGUUAAUUUCUUGAAGGUGAUUCUAGCUAGAGGGCUAAAUUAUUUCUUUUUUUGUUCUGCAUUCUUAUAGCUUGCUUGAAACAAGCUUCAAAAAAGUUUGGAGGGGAUGAGAAGCAACCAAAGCUUCGUUUGGUACUCAUUUCUUGAACUAUACUCCCACAUUUAGCUUUCUUUUUCUUGUGUUGUCUAAGAAAGUUUUUGUUUUUAUUGUUUUUGGAUAUUGUAUGAACAAUGUAGAUUGCUGAUGAGAACAGUAGGGGUUUUCCAAAUGCAAUGACUAAUGGAAUGACCGAUACACGUUGUGAAAGCAAGCGCGAAAUGAAAGCUCCCAGUUUGGUUGCUAGGAUCAUAAGUUUGUUAUCGAUGCCAGCAGGAUCAGGCAGUAAGCCCCAAAAGGCUUCAGCUUCUGAAACUUGGAGCAAUGUGGCAGACAAACUUGGUGCUCGACCAGGCGGAUCUGAUAAAGAAGAUAUGGAUUUUGAGAUGGCCGAAAUAAAGAGUUCAGAACCAGGUUUGCAAAGGUUUAGAGCUAAAUGUGCCCUCACUUAUCCUACUACAUAUUUUUCUCCUUUGGAAGAUGAAGCAGAUUUAGUUGGGAAUUCACUUGAUCACCAUUCAACUGACAGCUACCUCUCCAGCAGUCCCAAUAGUAGCUCAAGUAUGGUCCCCGAUUCNNNNNNNNNNNNNNNNNNNNNNNNNNNNNNNNNNNNNNNNNNNNNNNNNNNNNNNNNNNNNNNNNNNNNNNNNNNNNNNNNNNNNNNNNNNNNNNNNNNNNNNNNNNNNNNNNNNNNNNNNNNNNNNNNNNNNNNNNNNNNNNNNNNNNNNNNNNNNNNNNNNNNNNUGCUGAAUCAGUGGACUCUGUUGAUGAUGAACCGCUCGUUCCAGAACCUGAUAGAGAUCUUUCGGAUUGUAAGACCUCAUUAUCCACCAGGAGGAGUUGCAGAGAGCUGAUUCAUAACGUUUCUGGAGUGCUCAGGAAGAUUAAUUAGUUAAAAGGAAGCAAACUCAGCUACGCAAAACAGGUCAUUUUGAAUGCUGAACUCAUAUCUGGAACUACACCUCAACAGCAGGCUCUACCUGUAGAGGAUGGGUUCUCUGUGAGCCAUUUUCUCCUCAAUGAACAUGAAUGUUUUCGAGUUUUCUGUGGAUGGCUUUCGGUGAGUUGCUUGGCCGUAAUGACCCAAAACAGAUGAAUCAGCUUAAAGGAUUCGCCUUUGAUUGUCUAUUAGAGUACCUGGACUCAAAAUUUUCUCCAAUCUCUGAUUCUGGUUUCAGAACCUGUACUAAACUACCAUCAUGUAUGACCAAAGAGACUCUGAUUGCUGAUAUUAUUCAUGAGGUCGAAGAGUGGACACAAUUUGUUGGUUUGAUCACAGACGAUCUAAUAGAAUGGGAUAUGAGUCAUUCUUUGGGUAAAUGUACGGACUUCGAGAUUGAAGAAUAUGAAUGUGGCACUGAAGUUGCUUGGCAUAUUCUCCAAGAAUUUGUAGAUGAAGUUGUUUUAGACCUUGACAGUUCUAGCUAAAUUUUGUGGAACUGUUAGUAACUCCUCUUUUUGAGACUUUGUUGCAAGCCUAUCAGUGUUGUUCUCAUGUGAUAACUCUUGACUCAAUAAUGUCAUGCAAAGUAUUUUGUACAAAUCAUUGAUUCUGCAUCUGAUUCGACUUAUUGUACUUGUGCUUUUGCAUUUAUGAAUAUUAAGAACAAUCCCUUCGUGAACAUCUGUUUGAAGUAGAACAUUACAAACACAAAAUGAAAAAUGGUUGAAAUGUAAGAACAAUUUGAAAAGAAACCCAAUAAGCCUAAAUGGAUGCAUAUGUAGCAAUCUGUUACUACCUCCGACCCAAAUUAUGUGUCAGUCGUCCCAAAAUAAAUGUCGUCUUUACUUAUUUGGAAAUUUUUCAAAGGCACAAUUACCUUUUUAGCUUUAUUGGACGAACUUGACUUUAAAUAUAUUAAUAAUUUUUUUUUAGUAUUUGUUUUUUGAAAGUGAAAGCCUUAUCACUUCAAUCAAAAUUUAAACUUUCAGCCUUUUAUUUUUACAGUAUCAAAAUUAUUUUAAACCACAGAGAGCAAUUUAUUCUUUUUGGUUGGGUAAUCCAGUUUUCUUCGACAACUCAUUGUUCAUAUUACUAUGAUUUCUUGAGUAAAAAUUUGAUCUUUAAAGCUAAAGUUAAAGAAAACAAGAAUUUAGAGGGACCUGACUUUCCACAUAUAUCAUCUUACAAUUGGAAAAAGUAACAAACACAACUACAAAGAUCAAACUUCUUUUGUUUAGAACUGAAAAUUGAUUGAGAUAGUGAGCUACCCAAGAGACAACAUCCUUCUCCGUUAUUUCCUCUAACGCGUCAUAUGCCUCGUCAAUACUUCACACUCAUGGUACUUUGAUAGGAGUGCAUUUCCGACAUAGCACAAGAUAUGAUAUCCAACAUUAACAAGUCAGUCGUGUAAUUUGCUUUCCAAAUUCGAAUGCAGCAACAUCAAGUAAGAUAAUACUGUAUGUCUGAACAAGCAGUAUAACAAGCAUAUUUUUUACAAACUCUAAACAUGAGUAGAAACUGUCCAUUUCACUUUGUCUUGAUGAAUGUUUGAUCCUUUUAGAAGCACCGUGAUCUGAAGUUCACUCCACAGCAAACAGUUAAUCUUUCGAGUAUUGAAUAUUGUCGACCUCAGCUUCAACGUACUUCCACUUCACAUGUAUUACCACAAAAAUGAAAAUACACAACAAAACAAUUUCCUACAAUUUUGUUUUUAGUUUCUGCACUUAUUUACUCCCGCUCCGAAUACUUAGUUUCCAACAAAUAUCAAGACGAUGCAAUGCACCUCUCCGAGAGCUCUUCAAGAAGCUAGUCUUCAACAACCACCACAAAACAGUAAAGUUAACAGCCCGACCUUUUCAUUUUUUUAGGUAGGUCAACACAGAUGACACACUCCUAUUUUCUUUCCCACCAUUCACAACCUUACGUUUCUCCUUUCUCAACUCUCUCUUCACCGGAAGUACAUUGGCUAGCCUAUGUUCUAUGAUAUUUCAACAUAAUCACAGAUCAUCAGAUUGUCAGCUUAUGAUUAAAUGUUCAGUUACUUGACAACAGUGAGAGUGACUCACAGAACACCAAAUUUAACAAACAUAACUCAAGAGCAAGGAUCAAGGAAGACUAAGUCUCAUGAACGUGAUAGUGGUAGGAUAUCUGACAGGAAAAGGGAGCGAGACGACUUUGAACAGGACAAGGAAAAGUAUAAGAAAAGUAACAUCAUACUAAUAAAUUAUGACAAUCAAGAUAGAAUUAUUAUAAAUUGGCAAAAUGUGCAUGAGGGAAACUUUAAUAAUAGUAUAUAAAAAAAAACUUUUUAAAAAUAUUAAAUUCAUUUCACAAGAGGUUUGAGGUAUGAGGAAUGGAAUAUUAAAAGGAACAGUUUGAUUGUUGAUACUUUUUUCUAUAAGACAACUAUAAUAUCGCGCUGACCUCUUAGAUAGUCACUCAGCUAAUAGUUAUUACCUCAGAAAAUCACCUUUUUUCUUGAUUCUCAGAAAGUCACUAUAUUAGAAAUCGACUCAGAUAAUUACACAAUCAUAUCUAAGAAGCUGAAGAAAUGUAUAAGUUUUAGAGAAAAAACUAACAGUAGAAAAUGUGGUAAGUAUCAUCAUAGAGUAGAAAUCAACUUUAAAAGUACGUUAUAUAUAAUCUUCACAGCUCCAUCAACUGUCCUACAGCAAUAGAAUCAAAACUAAGGGAUGCUCAACCACGCUAAGCCUCGAGGAAUAGUUUACUCCAACAAUACUUGAUGAUUUACGUAAGACAGAGGCUCGUUCUAUAGGUCAAAAGACAGGUUUUGUGCAACAUCACGACCCCUUGGACAACUUUUGUGCAGUCAUGAGACUUUUUGUCAACCAGAUUGCUGUUUCUCUAGACGACAUUCCAUCAUCCCAAGAGCGUCUUUCUUAGCCUGUUUGGUGUCGUAAACUGUGGUUGCUUUCUUUUCUAGCUCGUCUUUGUGUAGAAGUGAACCAUCCCUUUCAGUUGACAAGCAGUCAAUAGCAACUUCUCUACACUCGCUACCAUUUUCAGUUUCAGCAACACAGAAUCUUUGUGCUGCCUCUGGAUCUGGUUUUGCCAACUGUGAAUUAGAUGAAGUGCUUUCUUCAUCGAAGGAUCAUGUUUUAUCGUUGAAUCUUCCAUCAGACAAUGUAAUUCUGCUAGAUUUUGCAGAGAUACAUUACACUAUAUCUGCUUCCUCGUGGUCCAGUGGACUGCUCAACACCUCAAGCUCUUUUGUCUUGUUAUUCUUUGUAUCAUCCUCGUCAAAUCAACUAACAUGCUCCGGAGAAACAUGCUCUUGUUCCCCGGACCAUGUUUUUGCCCUUGAACUUGACGAGCUUGCAGUGAUCGUAGUUUCUGUUUGUGAGAUAGUCUCCUGUUGAUCAUAUCCAUUGCAAAUAGCUGCCUCACUCAUCUCCCCACUUUUAGAAUCCUCACUAUCUUGAGAGAUCCUAGCCGAGUAGCUUGUUAGAUCGACUCUCUUAGUGUCAAGUUUGGCUCGGAACGUGUUAUAAUUGUAAGAUAAGUUUCUUGGCUGAAUGUUAUCACUUUCGUCAAAGUAAAGGACAGUUCUUUUCUCUUUUAGCUUCUACGGUCUUUCUAUGCUACCUCUCGGACUGAUAGAUUUUCCAGGUGAUGGUCGUGUUUUCUCUUUCGUUCUGCUCGGGGACUUCAUGGAAAGAAACGCAGAUGAACGGUUGUGACACAAGAGGAGGUAUGGUUGCAAAUGUUGAUUUCUCAACAGCUCGACAGCCUAUAAGUAGAGGUAAAAAAAAUAUCAAGAUGAAUCUCAAUUUAAUACUCCCUCCAUUUCAUUUUGUUUUUCGGGUUUUGAUUUGGCACGAAGUUUAAGAAAGAAAAGAAGACUUGAAUUUUGUGGUCUUAAAAUAAAGGUAUGCAGAAUGUAUCAAAAUGUAAUUUAAGUUUGUAAUCUUUAAACAUACCACGUAGAAAGUUAGAAUUAAGGAGUUGUUGUAAAAAGAAAGAAACAUUCGCUUUUAAACAGACUAAAAAGGAAAAUAAUACUUAACAGAUUGAAAUGGAAAGAAUAACAUUUGAACAUAUGUCGCUCGCACUCACUAUAUGUCGGUGUUCUGGAGUUUUCCUUAGCAUGCUUUUUAUUAUCUGUUUCCUGCAAGAAUUAAAUCCGCUUUGUCAGCUAACUUAUUUGUUAUACUUGUGGCGUGCUUAGAAGGAAGAUACUUACAAGGUGGAGUAUAUAAUCGGAAAUGGUGAGAACAAACCCCGGUUUAUUUUGUUGAUAAGUCCUGUUUUGUCCUGUUGGAUUUACAUUGUCACUAUAUCAUAUAGAAGAUAUCAGGAUAAAGAACUUCUCUUUUUUUUUGGCGUAACAAGUAUAACUUUUCGAGGAAUUGUUUACGAAGUUCAGAUAGCUUAAAAAUCAACUCACAGAAGCUUUAAACGGGGGUUGAUAUGCAGCAAUGUCAAACAUACAGUAUCCUAAAAUCACAUUAAAGUGUUAGUAUUAGGGACAUGAUGUAAAGAGCUAAAAUAUAUUGCUUCAUCAACAUUCUUAUUUCUUACCAAGCGACCAUAUAUCAGAUUUAUAGCCAUAGGGUAUGCCGGCAAGGAGCUCAGGGCACAUGUCGUUUGGUGUGCCAGAUACCUAUUACAUGAUAUUUGUUCCAAAAUUAAGGAUUAGCUGUACAACUCGACGUCUUUUUCUCAAAUGCAUUAAGCUAGGUGCUAUGGCGACCGGAGCUUUGUAAUAUGAUGAAUACCACAAUAUUUUUUUUGAUAAAAAGGAAGAUGACCACCACAACAUUUCGGUACCUAUGACCGAAAAUAAAAGCAAAUUGUAGGUUUUCCGGUCUUGGAGGGAAAAGGGAUUUCUCCCUUGCUAAAUAGUUAUGUUGAAUCAAUUGUUAGGUGACAAUAGAUGGUCGAAACUUUCAUGUAAGUAAGAGAUUCAUUUUGCCACAAUAGAAAUUCAUACCGAGGAGGCAAGGCCUUCUGCAUCUAGCAAUUUUCCGAAUCCAAAAUCACCUGUGACAAUCAAGUGAAUUUGAAGGACAGUAAAGAAGCAAAGACGACCCAAUCAAGCAAUUGUUCGGGUAUUCUUACCUAACCUGAUGUCGUUGUCCUUUGUGAUGAAUAUGUUACAUAACCGAAUUCAAAAUAGUUCACGUUAAAAUGUUUCAUGCUAAGAAGGCUUUUCUAUUUCGCCGAUUACAGCAAGUUUUUACCUUGAGGUCUCUAUGAUGAACGCGGUUGGAAUACAGAUGCUCCAAAGCUAACAAUAGAUGAGUCAGCCAUUUGCAGAGUUUCUAUAAUAGCAGGAAAAAAACAACAUAAAAACACACAAUUUUUUAAGCUACCGGGAAGGUACAGAGAAGCUUCAUAAGUAUUGAAAUCGCAUUUAACUAUCUCUUCCUGGAAAAUUGCUCCUCUAGACUUCCCCACGACCUCCGCCCUGAACACGGGGAAAAAAAUCAUCACCGUCCUCAGAUUACACCAUAAAAUAAGUUCUAUGAUCAUCUUAUUCAUUUCUUUAUUUUCAACCUCAUUACCCCUUCUAUCGUUCUUGGUACGACGGAGUAUUUAUGAAAUCUGAGGUCUUUCAUUCUCCAGAUACCAGGAUAUGCUUACAACACAGGCUGAAAACAGCCACGAUCUUGGCAAAAGGUUGCGCUCUAAAAACACAGGUUAGCCAUAUUUUACGAUAAAAUAUAGCCGGUGACAAUGAUGAAGAAUUUUACUUAAAAAUUGUAUUCCCUUCCCUUGUUUAGUGGCUCCUUUUGUUCUUUAUUCUUAUCUUUCCUUAUAGGUACACAUUUAAAAUAUUAGCAAAAUCAGGGAUAAUCACUCACAUAUUCUCAUCUUCACAAUAACCGGCAACGAUGCAUAUACAGCUCCCCUGAAAGAAAAAGAAAGUCGAGCUUUUUCUCUGGUGCAGCUUAUACAGCAAUAAUCGCAACUAUUAAAGGCUACGUUUUGUACUUUUUGAUCCAAGGAACCACAAAACUGGAUGAUAGGAUACCUUGUCCACCCAACCAUCUUUGUACUCUAAAAGAUAUGGAUGGCUAAGUUUAGCUAUCAAAUUCACCUGCAACGGAAAAAUAACCGUCUAUCAUCAAAUUAGAAGAAUAUUCUCCAAGCAUAUCAUACCAUCAAGUAAAAAUUUUCAUAUAAUAAAUUAUAAGAUGAGUCGAAGAUUUUGUAUCUAAAUGUGCUUGGUUCGAAAGGAAAGAUUGGAGNNNNNNNNNNNNNNNNNNNNNNNNNNNNNNNNNNNNNNNNNNNNNNNNNNNNNNNNNNNNNNNNNNNNNNNNNNNNNNNNNNNNNNNNNNNNNNNNNNNNNNNNNNNNNNNNNNNNNNNNNNNNNNNNNNNNNNNNNNNNNNNNNNNNNNNNNNNNNNNNNNNNNNNNNNNNNNNNNNNNNNNNNNNNNNNNNNNNNNNNNNNNNNNNNNNNNNNNNNNNNNNNNNNNNNNNNNNNNNNNNNNNNNNNNNNNNNNNNNNGAACUCAAACCUUGAGUUAAGACAUUGGGGCAUAUAUAUUAUUCUGUUGAAACAAUCUUCUCCAAAACCUAAGCUCAUCAGAUGCAAACCAGCAUUCAUGCAGAUAAGAAUGAAGAUGUCUAAAGGUUUCCAUCGAUAGAAUUCGUAGGAUGCUCAAUGCAUUGGUCAGGACAAUCACUCCUUACAUAGUCCAGUGCGCUCAACAUUCUUAGAAGAAAAAAGGUUUGCAUGGCAACACACGCUUCAAGUCGUACGAUAAGAUAGUUAAAAUGGUAACAGCAAAGGAAGAAUGUUGUGGUAUGAGAGUGAUAAUCCAAGAUCUUUAGAAGCAGACCAAUUGAAAUAGAACAACAACAACAGGAAGCCCAGUGUAUCUGGGGAGGGUAAAAUGUACACAGUCCAUACCGCUACCCCCGAAGAAGUAGAGAGGUUGUUUCCAAUAGACCCCCGGCAAUUGAAAUAGAAGAACAUCAAUAAAAAUCAGUUUAUCGAAUAUUUUAUGAUGGAACACCUCAUACAAUGUAGCUCACUACCGAAACUAUGAGGACAACUAUUCAAUUAGACAAAAAUCUAGCAAGUACGAGAUAUUGAAUGUAUGUAUUAUUCUGAAUUGCUUUAUAUUUCAUAAACGCGAUGUUCCCUGGUUGAAGUUUUUGUUUGUCUCAUUGUUGUUUCGUGAUGUACUUAACGAACUUGUUGUAACACCCCGUAUUCAAGUACGUGUAUUGGCGUAUUCAAGUAUGUGUAUUGGUCUUAUUUUUUUUAUUUUAUUUAUACCGGAAUUUACCCGUCGAUGGUUCCAUACGAAGGUUAUUGAAUAAGCUUUUCAAAGAUAUAAAGAUUUCCAAAAAUGGAUAGGUUUCGGAUAAUAUCAAGCACGUUCGAAACUAUAAAACGGUUGCCGGUAUAUUUAUGAAUAGUAAAUGUGCAGGAAAAUUUCCUAUAAACAAACUACUGAGGCCAUCCGAAUUUUUGGGCAAACUUCGAACGAUCAUAACUACCUUAAUAUAAUGAACGUGAUAGUGGUAGGAUAUCUGACAGGGAAAGGGAGCGAGACAUCUUUGAACGGGACAAGAAAAAGUAUAAGGAAAGGAGUCAUCAUUCAAUAGACAAAGGUCACUCGGAGAAACCAAAACAUGACUCUUCUCGGGAUCGUGAUUAACAAUCUUAUUCAUCACGAGAGAAGAAUUGUAAUAGACAUCAUUAGCUUAGAGAAGGCUGGUAAAAUGUUACCAUGCCCAAUAUGUUUUCUUUAUGGAGCGUAGCUACUGCUCUUUAUAUAAUAGCUGAGGGUGCCGCCUUUAUUAGUGAAACUGUACCACAUCCUUUUGCAUAAACCAAGGUCUCUCAUAAUCGUGACAUUGAUUUCAACUAUUUUCAAAUAUAUUUGGUCUACACAAACUCUUUAACAUUCAAUUAAUCUUUCCACUGAUUCCACUAAUUCAUCAACAUUUUUAGGGGCCUUUUGAUAUUGAAGACUUUGGAUUGCUCUAAACAAAACAAGAUCUAAAACAUUUAAAUCUGGACUGUUCGAUGGUUGAAAACACAAUCUGAUGUCAAAUCCAUCUUGUUGGGUAGCUUCAACAAAUUCUAACUCAUUGUUACCAAUAUGUGGCCUUUCAUUAUCUUAUUGUAAAAAGAUAGGAUUAUUCGAAUCGGAAGCUGGCCAUUUUGCUCUAAUAGCAGGAAGAACUUUCUCUAUCAAGCAAGCUCUAGUGAUAUCUUUAGUUACUGACUGAAUGGGCUUUGUUUCCAUAGUUCCUGCUGUUCGAUUUUUGCUAUUCCACAUAGCUGGUUCCUUAACUACAAACGAAAAAAUACCUAUUUUUCUAGAAAACAACUCAAUUCCAUUUUCAUCAAAUCGAGGACGUGCUACAGCAGCCAUAAACAUAACCAUUGGAAUAAAAUUUUUACUUUUGUAAGAACGAUACAGAUCUGGCUCAUGGUCUCCAGGAAGGAGGUAGUACCUUUCAACUUUUUUGGACAAAAAAAACAACUUUUCGUCGAUAUGAACAUAAGUAAACAUAUUCAGAAACAUGGGAUUUAUGUGGAUUGCAUUCUGAUCAAUCAUUGAGAGGCAGUAUUGAAGUCGUACCUUUUUGUUUCCUUCGGUUAACUGUGGCUUGAUGGAAUUAGAAUGUGGCCGAAGAGUUCCAUCUUUCACACACCGAAAGACGGCUGAUUUUGCCAUGUUCAUCGCAAAAGCUAGAGAUCGAAAAUUUGUUCGAUGACAAAGUGGAAUUUAUUUGACUUGAUUAAGUCGACUCCAAUCCGUUUUCUUCCAACUUUACCUGUAAGUCUUAAAGACACAUCUAAUGACGACAUACCAUUAACAACUGAUGAUUGGCAUUGUUUCCAAAUGCACUAAAUAGUUUUAUUGAUUUCUUGAACAACAUCGCAGCUUGUGUUAUAGAUCCGUAUUUAAAACUUCCUUCCUUACUUUCUUUCAAAAGAAACUUUGCAAUUGCUUGACGAUCUUCUAAUUUCAAUCAUUUAUUUUUGAAGGUUGAGUCUAUAGGUACGACGAACCUCAUCUUUAGUGUAAUGGCAAAAAUAAGAGUGGAGAUAAAAGGAAGAAUUUGGAAAUUAUCCAAAACAAAAAGAAGGAUACAGUAACCAGAAGAUGCAAAAGAACAUCUCUCAAAUGAAAAGAAGAUUUGGUGCCACAAAAUAACCAUUUGCUAAAAAUUCAAAUGAAAAGUAGGUUUAGCGCCCAAAAAUUGAAACCAAAAUCAAAUCAGAAAUGUAAAUUUUUCGUGGAAAAUCCGUACAUGAAAGCAAAUUGGUCCUAUUUUCUAGAAAAUUGAAUUUUGCAAUAACAAAUUUUUCUUAAUUGUUGAUAGAGAAAAUGAGAAUAAAAUUUUAAAUUAAAGCGAUACACUGAUUUGAACUACUUAACUCUUUGCAAAAAAGAGAGACAGUUAUGUAGGUGGAGUAUUUUUUUAGUAGAUUUUUUUUAAUACUAUACUCUCUGUUGCAUUUUUUUAAUUAUUGUGAAAUUUAAUAAAAGUACCGAGUGGUCCAAUACUUUUUUAAGAGGGGUAAUUUAGUAACUUUAGCAAGGUCAAUGCCUAUUUCUUAAAUAUCGUGUCCGGUCAAAUGGCGACAUAUAAUUUGAGACGGAGGGAGUAUUAUGAUAUUCAAUGUUCAUCAAUCCAUAAGCGAUAUCCAAAGGAUAAUUGAAUUAGUUAGUACCAUAACAAUAUUAACUACAGAUCUAGAGAAAAUAGAUUAAAACUUGAAUUAAUUAAUUUGUAUAAUAGAUCAAUAAUAAUAAUAGAUUUGAAAUACAAGGAUUAAGGCUUGAAAUCGUUAGCAUCAUGUAUCAUAUAUAUAACAAACAUCAAAUGAAAACUUGCUCGAAAACAUGCUCCACCAUGAAAGAUGCACUUACAAAAAAUAAAUCAUGAUGGACUAAUAAAAAUUGAGAGUAAGAACAUGAAUUUUGCUUGAAACAUGUGUUUUGGUGUCAAGGUGCACAGGGAAUACAGUGGAGAAAAGGAAAAACAGAGAAAAUCAAGAUGAAAGAAGAUUUUAGGAAAGUAAAACAUUAGAGGCAAAAGACACGGUAAAGUGUCAUUGAUUGGAGGUUUUAGUUACCAAAAUACCCUUACUGUUGGUGUUGUUAACGAAAAUAUCCUCAAAUAAGAAAAAAUAGUAGUAACUAAAGUCUUCAUUUAUAUAAAAGAUUAAAAUAUAAUCAUUAUUAUUUUAAAAAAAUGUAUAAAUUUUAGUAACUAAAAAUAUAUUAGUGAAAUUACUUUUAACCUUGCAAGAGUAAAGAAUUUAUUAAGGAGUGUGUCCAAUUCAAAUGGGGUAAAUAGAAAAGAUUGAAAGGUUUAUUCAACUAUUUUACAUUGAGUCCACUUAAUUCAUUGAUAUUUUAGACAAUUCCUCAAUAUUCAUGAUAAAUGAAUUGUUUAGAUAUUGUUGAUAUUUGAGGUAAUUUAAUUGUUUCAAUAAUAAUGUUGAAAUUUUUAUUUAUUCUUAUACUUCAUUUUGGUAUUUCUUAUAUCAUGAAUUUAAGAAAUUAAAUUGUUCCUAUUUAUUUAUUGUUUUCAAUUAGUUUUUUAAAAGUCAGUAUUGGAAGGCAAUUUUGACACUGUGAUGUUGACACCCAAUUUUGACCUCCCGACACUACAUUUAGUCUCUUAUUUUAACAAAAUCGUUAAUUUUUAAACAUUAGUAUUUUUGAAUAUUUUCUUGCAUAAAACAGAUUUCCGACAUAUCGCAUUCAUAAUUUAGAAAAUGCAUAAAUCAUCAAUUACCUGUUAGAAUCAUAUUUUUAUAAUAUUCUAAAAUUAAAAAUGACAUUUUUAUAAUUUUAUUAAUUAAAUUAUUUUCACGUAAUUAUGCACACUCACAAUUUUACAAAAUACAUUGUGUAGGUUUGCUUUAUUUAAUACUAUUUAUUGAUAUUAUUUUUUAUAGACAUUGUUAUUAUAUAUAUUAAUAUUAUUUAUUAUUUAUCAUUUAUUAUUAUAAUUUAUUUUUUAAUUAUUAUUUUUUCAUUAUUAUUUAUCUUUUAUUAUAUUUUUUAUCAUUUAUUAUUUAAUGUUGCUAUUUAUUAUUUAAUUACUAUUAUUAUAUUUUAUUAUUAUUAUUCCUAGUUUAAUUUAAAUAACAUCCUAAUCAAAAUUACAUUGCAUGAUUUUCUUUACCUUUUAAUCCAAUUAUUACAAUUAUUACCUAUUCUUACCCAAUCCAUUACAAUCUUAACCCAAUCUUUUACAAUUUAAGCCAUUAUUUUUCAUCCUAGCCACAUUUUAAUUCCCCCAUGACAUUAAAUCUCAGUCGUCGAUCAAAAACCAAUCCAACGGUUGAGAUCAAAAGAUCUCUCUUUCCAUAUUUCAAACCUGCAAACCCUAACCCUAAUUUAUUUUCCCCAACUUCCGCCUCUAUCUCUCCACCUCUCUCUUCUCUCUCUCUNNNNNNNNNNNNNNNNNNNNNNNNNNNNNNAUCUCUCCAUCCCCCAUCGACCACCAAAACCACCCCCUCCACUCCGAGUCCUCAUCGCUAUGCCGCCAUCUCCGGCGAACAGCCUUUGCCAUCGCCUUUUCCUUCUCCUCUAUACGCGCUGCCAGCUCCUACCCCAGGUGAGUCCAGCCGCUGCUCCGAUGGCCAGCCCCCUCCCUUCUCGUCCUCCACCAGCGAACAGCGCCGCCAUCGAUGGAGAUGGCCAGCCAAGCCUCCACACCACCGCUCCAUCCCCCGUCCUCCAGUUUCUUUCUUUCUCCCUUCUGACGAACGUCCAACAGCCGCGACACAGCCUUGACUCCUCUGGCACAGUGAUACCUCCGGCAAACCCCUUCGGCGUUCCAACCAUGCAACCCUUCCUCAUCGAAAAUGAAGAAUUCGUCUUCAAGUUUGAUCCCAUGUUCAAAAUAUGUGUGAGAACUUUAGUACUAUUUCUUCAUUUGUGUCUCUCAUAAGUGUGGCCACGUUUGAUUUUUGCUGAAUAAAUGUGUUGAUUUUAAGUAUGUGAUUUUUAUUCUACCCUAUUUGCAUGUCCUGCUUGAUUGAAAUUUCGUGACUCUUAACUUGAAUGGUGAGUCAAUCUGUUCAUCUCUCUCUGGUAUGUGCAAACACGCCUAACUUCUUGCAACUUCAAAUUUUUUAUGCCUCUUAGUCAAUAUGGGUAAUUUUGUAUGGGAAAAGCAUGUAUGUGACGAUUCGAGGAUUUUUUCGUAAAUCUUUAAUAAGGCUAAUAUGUGCAUGUUUUGACUUUUUGGGUAUGAUCAUGUACCAAUUUGAUUUGAGAAAAGCAUCUCAGUAAUUGGUUUUUUAUUUUUUGGAUUUUUUCGUAAAUCUUUAAUAAGGCUAAUAUAUGCACGUUUUGACUGUUUGGGUAUGAUCCUGUACCAAUUUGAUUUUAGAAAAGCAUCUCAGUAAUUAAUUUUUUAUUUUUUGGAUUUUUUCGUAAAUCUUUAAUAAGGCUAAUAUGUGCACGUUUUGACUGUUUGGGUAUGAUCCUUUACCAAUUUGAUUUGAGAAAAGCAUCUCAGUAAUUGAUUUUUUAUUUUUCUUGCCUUACUUGGUUGACAGACAUCCCCUCACACGUUAAUUAUGGUAAAUUUAGAUACCUCUUCUUGAUUUCAUUUAAUAAGUAGGAAGGAUCUCUUUUUACAUGUUCUAUUCAUGGAAAUUUCAAAUGUUAUUAUAGGGUAUUAUUUAUUUAUGGCAACUAUAGCAUGACUGGUGGAAUGGAUUGAUUUACCCCAUCCAUUUAAGGGAACAAUCCCCUUAAUUGAUUCAUUAUAUGUUAUUCUUCUUCCAUUAAAUAUUAUUCUUCCUUCAUUAUUUGGGAUUGUGGACGGCCCUCCUCACUAUAUAAACUCACCAUUCUCUUUCUAUAAGAGGACAAACUUCUCCUCCGCUAUCACUCCCUCUAUUUUCUCUUAAAAGUACUUUGAAGUUCUUUGGCACUUUGGAUUUCAAAAAACAUUUGGUCUUGUCCUUGCUGCAAUUGCUUUGGGUUCUAUUAUUAUUGUUUGGUGCCUAAUCGGUUAGUCUCUAUCGACGCAUUCUUUUCUUAUUCUGUAGCAUUUGUGAGAGCAAAGCAUAGAAAGCAUGUCUAUAGGAACUAAUUUAAAAUAAUUAUGAUUUUGCUUUUGUCACUGUCAUAAAGAAGAUUAGAAAAAGAAAAGAAUAGCUUACUAGAAUGUACUAUAACCAGUUCUAACUAUUUUCUUGAACAGUAGCACAUUUGGUGCAAGUUGAAGACAUUCUGGGUAUUGCUGUUUGUAUUUUCUUGUUCUGUGUUUUGUUUGUUUGACUGUGGCUUCUUGUGAAUGUUUUGUCAUAAUUGAACAUAGCUCAGGGUUUUACUUUUCAUAGCUAUUUUCUACUUUCUUUCUGAUAUUUUGUUGGGUUUUUGCUUUGUUUCUUGCAUGAAAAUGUAAGUUCUUUUUCCCUAUUUUCCUUUUUUGGGCAAAGAAGGGUGAGUGAUGUGGUGGGCAGGGGCCAGUGGGGGGGUCUUUUGUUUAAUUCUUUCCAAAUUAAUGUGAAGAUAAUGUUUGAUAGAAUCUUAUUGGGAAGACAAAGUGUGUGAAUCAUAUUCAGCAAAGUGGGAGAAAAGGUGAAGAAAUUUAAGAGAGGAUUUUGAAGGAUGAUUGAUAGCUCAGCUAGAUAAAUGAAUGAGAGAGAACCUCAAAGGCCUUGUGGUUGUGUGGGCAUUUUCUUUCAGUUCUUUGAUCGGAACCGUAGAUUUGCCAAGAAGUUGUUUCCAAAGAAACUGCUUUCACCAGGUUAGCUACUACUACAUUCCACUUAUUUUUAAAGCAGAAUGGUUAAUUUCUUGAAGGGGAUUCUAGCUAGAGGGCUAAAUUAUUUCUUUUUUUUUGCUGCAUUCUUAUAGCUUGCUUGAAACAAGCUUCAAAAAAGUUUGGAGGGGAUGAGAAUCAGCCAAAGCUUCGUUUGGUACUCAUUUCUUGAACUAUAUUCCCACAUUUAGCUUUCUUUUUCUUCUAUUGUCUCAGAUUUUAGCCUGACAGGAAAGUUUUUGUUUUUAUUGUUUUUGGUUCUUGUAUGAACAAUGUAGGUUGCUGAUGAGAACAGUGGGGGUUUUCCAAAUGCAAAGAAUAAUGGAAUGACCGAUACACGUUGUGAAAGCAAGCACGAAAUGAAAGCUACAAGUUUGGUUGCUAGGCUCAUGGGUUUGCAAUCGAUGCCGUAGCCCCAAAAGGCUUCAGCUUUUGAAACUUGGAGCAAUGUGGCAGACAAACUUGGUGCUAGACCUGGCGGAUCUGAUAAAGAAGAUAUGGAUUUUGAGAUGGCUGAAAUAAAGAGUUCAGAACCAAGUUUGCAAAGGUUUAGAGCUAAAUGUGCUCUCACUUAUCCUGCUAGAUAUUUUUCUCCUUUGGAAUAUGAAGCAGAUUUAGUUGGGAAUUCACUUGAUCACCAUUCAACUGACAGCUACCUCUCCAGCAGUCCCAAUAAUAGCUCAAGUAUGGUCCCCGAUUCGACAUUUUACUACUUGCAUACUUCCUUUCUUUCCCUCAAAUACAUAAAUUAAAAAAUAAGACACCUUUGAACUUGGAUUUCAUGCAUCCAUGCUUCUAAUAAAUAUGAUACUUGUUUUCUUUUAGAGGACAAAGUGCUUGCUGAAUCAAUGGACUCUGUUGAUGAUGAACCACUCUUUCCAGAACCUGAUAGAGAUAUUUCGGAUUGUGAGACCUCAUUAUCCACCAGGAGUUGUAGAGAACUGAUUCAUAACGUUUCUGGAGUGCUCGGCAAGAUUGAUCAGUUAAAAAGAAGCAAACUCAGCUACGCAAAAAAAGGUCAUUUUGAAUGCUGAUCUCAUAUUUUGAACUACACCUCAACAGCAGGCUCUACCUGUAGAGGAUGGGUUCUCUGUGAGCCAUUUUCUCCUCAAUGAACAUGAAAAGUUUUCGAGUUUUCUGUGGAUGGCUUUCGGUGAGUUGCUUGGCUGUAAUGACCCAAAACAGAUGAAUCAGCUUAAAGGAUUCGCCUUAUAUUGUCUAUUAGAGUGCCUAGACUCAAAAUUUUCUCCAAUCUCUGAUUCUGGUUUCAGAACAUGUACCAAACUACUAUCAAGUAUGACCAAAGAGAUUCUGAUUGCUGAUAUUUUUGAUGAGGUCGAAGAGUGGACACAAUUUGUUGGUUUGAUCCCAGACGAGCUAAUAGAAUGGGAUAUGAGCCAUUCUUUGGGUAAAUGUACGAACUUCGAGAUUGAAGAAUAUGAAUGUGGCACUGAAGUUGCUAGGCAUAUUCUCCAAGAAUUGGUAGAUGAAGUUGUUUUAGACCUCUACAGUUCUAGCUAAAUUUGUUGGAACUGUUAGUAGCUCCUCUUUUUGAGACUUUGUUGCAAGCCUAUCAGUGAUAUUCUCAUGUGAUAACUCUUGACUCAAUAAUGUUAAGCAAAGUAUUUUGCACAAAUCAUUGAUUCUGCAUCUGAUUCGACUUAUUGUACUUAUGCUUUCGCAUUUAUGAAUAAUAAGAACAAUCCCUUCGUGAACAUCUGUUUGAAGUAGAACAUUACAAGCAAAAAAUGAAAAAUGGUGGAAAUGUAAGAACAAUUUGAAAGGAAACCCAAUAAGCCAAAAAUGAUGCAUAUGCAAAAAUUUGUUACUACCUCUGACCCAGAUUAUGUGUCGCCCGUCCCAAAAUAAAUGUCGUCUUUCCUUAUUUGGAAAAUUUUCAAAGGCACAAUUACCUUUUUACCUUUAUUGGACCCACUUGAUUUUAAAUAUACUAAUACUUCUUUUUUAGUAUUUGUUUUUUUAAAGUGAAAGCCUUAUCACUUCAAUCAAAANNNNNNNNNNNNNNNNNNNNNNNNNNNNNNNNNNNNNNNNNNNNNNNNNNNNNNNNNNNNNNNNNNNNNNNNNNNNNNNNNNNNNNNNNNNNNNNNNNNNNNNNNNNNNNNNNNNNNNNNNNNNNNNNNNNNNNNNNNNNNNNNNNNNNNNNNNNNNNNNNNNNNNNNNNNNNNNNNNNNNNNNNNNNNNNNNNNNNNNNNNNNNNNNNNNNNNNNNNNNNNNNNNNNNNNNNNNNNNNNNNNNNNNNNNNNNNNNNNNNNNNNNNNNNNNNNNNNNNNNNNNNNNNNNNNNNNNNNCCAAGAGACAACAUCCUUCUCCGCUAUUUCCUCUAACGCGUCAUAUGCCUCGUCAAUACUUCACACUCACGGUACAUUGAUAGGAGUGCAUUUCUGACAUAGCACAUGAUAUGAUAUCCUACAUUAACAAGUCUGCCGUGUAAUUUGCUUUCCAAAUUCGAAUGCAGCAACAUCAAGUAAGAAAAUACUGGAUGUCUGAACAAGCAGUAUAACAAGCAUAUAUUUUACAAACUCUAAACAUGCGUAGAAAAUGUCCAUUUCACUUUGUCUUGAUGAAUGUUUGAUCCUUUUAGAAGCACCGUGAUCUGAAGUUCACUCCACAACAAACUGUUUUCUGUUAAUCUUUCGAGUAUUGAAUAUUGUUGACCUCAGCUUCAACGUACUUCCACUUCACAUGAAUUACCACAAAAAUGAAAAUACACGGCAAAACAAUUUCCUACAAUUUUGUUUUUAGNNNNNNNNNNNNNNNNNNNNNNNNNNNNNNNNNNNNNNNNNNNNNNNNNNNNNNNNNNNNNNNNNNNNNNNNNNNNNNNNNNNNNNCUCUUCAAGAAGCCAGUCUUCAACAACCACCAUAAAACAGUAAAGUUAACAGCCCGACCUUUUCAUUUUUUAAAGUAGGUCAACACAGAUGACACACUCCUAUUUGGUUUCUCACCAUUCACAACCUUACGUUUCUCCUUUCUCAACUCUCUCUUCACCGGAAGUACAUAGGCUAGCCCAUGUUCUCUGAUAUUUCAACAUAAACACAGAUCAUCAGACUGUCAGCUUAUGAUUAAAUGUUCAGUCACUUGACAACAGUGAGUGUGACUCACAGAACACCAAAUUUAACAAACAUAACACGGAAGUUACCAUUGUCUCAAUGAAUAACAUCCUAAAGUGAGGAUAUCAAUACCAAUAAAACUUCAGAUGCAAACUUUCAAAUACAGUGUACACCAGUCAACGGCCAUAAACAGUAAAGUAUAAAUAGAAAAAACAAAUCAAUGACAUGAAAGAAAAAUAAAUGUCACAGAUAAAGGACAAUAAAUUUUAUCAAGAGUAAGGAUCAAGGAAGGCUAAAGUUUCAUGAACGUGAUAGUGGUAGAAUAUCUGACAGGGAAAGGGAGCAAGACGACUUUGAACGGGAUAAGGAAAAGUAUAAGAAAAGUAACAUCAUACCAAUAAAAUAUGACAAUCAAGAUAGAAUUAUUAUAACUGCGCAAAAUGUGCAUGAGGGAAACUAUAAUAAUAGUAAAAAAAAAAAACUUUUUAAAAAAAGUAAAUUCAUUUCAAAAGAGGCUUGAGGUUGGAGGAAUGGAAUAUUAAAAGGAACAAUUUGAUUAUUGAUACUUUUUUCUAUAAGACAACUAUAAUAUCGUGCUGACCUCUUAGAUUGUCACUUAGCUAAUAGUUAUUACCUCAGAAAAUCACCUUUCUUCUUGAUUCUCAGAACGUGACUUUCUGAGAUAAUACUAUUAGUUGAGUGACUAUAUUAGAAAUCGACUCCGAUAAUAACACAAUCACAUCUAAGAAGCUGAAGAAAUGUAUAAUCUUUGUCUGCAGGUAGUUUUGGAGAAAAAACUAACAGUAGAAAAUGUGGUAAGUAUCAUCAUAGAGUAGAAAUCAACUUUAAAAGUACAUUAUAUAUAAUCUUCACAGCUCCAUCAACUGUCCUACAACAAUAGAAUCAAAACUAAGGGAUGCUCAACCACGUUAAGCCUCGAGGAAUAGUUUAGUCCAACAAUACUUGAUGAUUUACAUAAGACAGAGGCUCGUUCUAUAGGUCAAAAGACAGGUUUUGUGCAACAUCACGACCCCUUGGACAACUUUUGUGCAGUCAUGAGACUUUUUGUCAACCAGAUUGCUGUUUCUCUAGACGACAUUCCAUCAUCCCCGAAUGGUUACAGCACACCAGCUAGCUCAUCGAUUUUUUCCUGCUUAAGUAGUAGCGCACAAACCUCCAAAAGAGACUCUAAAGCUUCAGCUCUUUGUUCAGUGGGAUUACCCCAGUCGUCUUUGUCCUCCUUACUAGCUAAUGCGGCUAGUGACUUGAGCUGCGAAACCUUAUCAUCCAGUGCUCGAAGAGCAUCUUUCUUAGCCAAUUUGGUGUCAUAAACCGCGGUUGCUUUCUUUUCUAGCUCGUCUUUGUGUAGAAGUGAACCAUCGCUUUUAGUUGACAAGCAGUCAAUAGCAACUUCUCUACACUCGCUACCAAUUUCAGUUUCAGCAACACAGCAUCUUGGUGCUGCCUCUGGAUNNNNNNNNNNNNNNNNNNNNNNNNNNNNNNNNNNNNNNNNNNNNNNNNNNNNNNNNNNNNNNNNNNNNNNNNNNNNNNNNNNNNNNNNNNNNNNNNNNNNNNNNNNNNNNNNNNNNNNNNNNNNNNNNNNNNNNNNNNNNNNNNNNNNNNNNNNNNNNNNNNNNNNNNNNNNNNNNNNNNNNNNNNNNNNNNNNNNNNNNNNNNNNNNNNNNNNNNNNNNNNNNNNNNNNNNNNNNNNNNNNNNNNNNNNNNNNNNNNNNNNNNNNNNNNNNNNNNNNNNNNNNNNNNNNNNNNNNNNNNNNNNNNNNNNNNNNNNNNNNNNNNNNNNNNNNNNNNNNNNNNNNNNNNNNNNNNNNNNNNNNNNNNNNNNNNNNNNNNNNNNNNNNNNNNNNNNNNNNNNNNNNNNNNNNNNNNNNNNNNNNNNNNNNNNNNNNNNNNNNNNNNNNNNNNNNNNNNNNNNNNNNNNNNNNNNNNNNNNNNNNNNNNNNNNNNNNNNNNNNNNNNNNNNNNNNNNNNNNNNNNNNNNNNNNNNNNNNNNNNNNNNNNNNNNNNNNNNNNNNNNNNNNNNNNNNNNNNNNNNNNNNNNNNNNNNNNNNNNNNNNNNNNNNNNNNNNNNNNNNNNNNNNNNNNNNNNNNNNNNNNNNNNNNNNNNNNNNNNNNNNNNNNNNNNNNNNNNNNNNNNNNNNNNNNNNNNNNNNNNNNNNNNNNNNNNNNNNNNNNNNNNNNUAGAAAGUUAGAAUUAAGGAGUUGUUGUAAAAGGAAAGAAACAUUCGCUUUUAAACGGACUAAUAAGGAAAAUAAGACUUAACAGAUUGAAACGGAAAGAAUAACAUUUGAACAUAUGUAGCUCGCACUCACUAUAGAUCGGUAUUCUGGUGUUUUCCUUAGCAUGAUUUUUAUUAUCUGUUUCUUGCAAGAAUUAAAUCCGCUUUGUCAACUGACUGAUUUGUUAUACUUGUGGCGUGCUGAGAAGGAAGAUACUGACAAGGUGGAGGAGUAUAUAAUCGGAAGUGGUGAGAACAAACCACGGUUUAUUUUAUUGAUAAGUCCAGUUUUGUCCUGUUGGAUUUACAUUGUCACUAUAUCAUAUAGAAGAUAUCAGGAUAAAGAACUUCCCUUCUUUUUUUUUUUGCGUAACAAGUAUAACUUUUCGAGGUAUUGUUUACGAAGUUCAGAUAUCUUAAAAAUCAACUUACAGAAGCUUUAAACGGGGGGAUUUGCAGCAACGUCAAACAUACAGUAUCCUAAAAUUACAUUAAAGUGUUAGUAUUAGGCACAUGAUGUAAAGAGCCGAAAUACAUUGCUUCAUCAACAUUCUUAUUUCUUACCAAGUGACCAUAUAUCAGAUUUAUAGCCAUAGGGUAUGCCGGCAAGGAGCUCAGGGCACAUGUCGUUUGGUGGGCCAGAUACCUAUUACAUGAAAUUUGUUCCAUAAUUAAGGAUUAGCUGUACCACUCGACGUCUUUUUCUCAAAUUCAUUAAGCUGGGUGCUAUGGCGACAGGAGCUUUGUAAUAUGAUGAAUACCAAUAUAUUUUUUUUGAUAAAAAGAAAGAUGACCACCACAACAUUUUGGUACCUAUGACCGAAAAUAUAAGCAAAUUUUAAGUUUUCUCGGUCUUGGAGGGAGAAGGGAUUUCUCUCUUACUAAUUAGAUAUGCUGAAUCGAUUGUUAGGUGACAAUAGAUGGUCGAAACUUACAUGUAAGUAAGAGGUUCAUUUUUCCGCAAUAGAAAUUCAUACCGAGGAAGCAAGGCCUUCUGCAUCUAGCAAUUUUCCAAAUCCAAAAUCACCCGUGACAAUCAAGUGAAUUGUAAGGAUAGUAAAGAAGCAAAGACGACCCAAUUAAGCAAUUGUUCGGGCAUUCUUACCUAACCUGAUGUCGUUGUCCUUUGUGAUGAAUAUGUUACAUAACUGAAUUCAAAAUAGUUCACGUUAAAAACGUUUCUUUCUUAGAAGGCUUUUCUAUUUCACCGAUUACAGCAAGUUUUUACCUUGAGGUCUCUAUGAUGAACGCGGUUGGAAUGCAGAUGCUCCAAAGCUAACAAUAGAUGAGUCAGCCAUUUGCAGAGUUUCUAUAAUAGCAGGAAAAAAACAACAUAAAAACACGCAAUUUUUUAAGCUACCGGGUAGGCACAGAGUAGCUUCAUAAGUAUUGAAAUCGCAUUUAACUACCUCUUCCGGGAAAAGUGCUCCUCUAGAAUUCCUCAUGACCUCCGCCCUGAACACGGGGAAAACAAAUCGCCACCAUCCUCAGAUUACACCACAAAAGAAGUUCUAUCAUCAUCCUAUUCAUUUCUUUAUUUUCAACCUCAUUACCCCUUCUAUCGUUCUUGGUACGAGGGAGUAUUUAUGAAAUCUGAGGUCUUUCAUUCUCCAGAUACCUGGUUGUGCUUACAACACAGGCUGAAAACAGCCACGAUCUUGGAAAAAGGCUGCGCUCUACAAACACAGGUUAGCCAUAUUUUACGACAAAAUAUAGUCGGUGACAAUGAUGAAGAAUUUUACUUAACAAUUGUUUUCCCAUCCCUCGUUUAGUGGCACCUUUUGUUCUUUAUCCUUAUCUGUCCUUAUAGGUACACAUUUAAAAUGUUAGCAAAAUCAGGGAUAAUCACUCACAUAUUUUCAUCUUUGCAAUAAUCGGCAAUGAUGCAUAUACAGCUCCCCUGAAAUAAAAAGAAAGUCGAGCUUUUUCUCUGGUGCAGCUUAUGCAGCACUAAUCGCAACUAUUAAAGGCUACGUUUUGCACUUUCUGAUCCAAGCAACGACAAAACUCGAUGAUAGGAUACCUUGUCCACCCAAGCAUCUUUGUACUCUAAAAGAUAUGGAUGGCUUAGUUUAGCUAUCAAAUUCACCUGCAACAGAAAAAUAACCGUCUCUCAUCAGAUUAGAAGAAUAUUCUCCAAGCAUAUCUUACCAUCAAGUAAAACUUUUCAUAUAAUAAAUUAUAAGAUGAGUCGAAGAUUUCGUAUCUAAAUGUGCUUGGUUCGAAAGGAAAGAUUGGAGCAACUAUUUGAUGACAUAACUUCUUCCACUCGACAUUUAAGAGUGUGCAUAUUCCAUACUGCCUAUUCAUCAAAAUGAAUAUUUGGUAGAGAGAUGUAUACCUCUUCGCUUCCAGAUUAUCCACUUCAAGAAAGUAGUGUUAUUGAUACAGGGAAAAUCAUAGGUGCGAAGUACUUACUGGUUCUUCUUUUCUAUUGCUAAGAGGAAUGAAAACUACUUCACGUGUGACUCCAACCAGAAAGUUCUAAAUUUCUACUUCAGUUCAAUCCUACUUGUCAGCUCAUGUCAUUUUUUUUUUUUGAAGCUCGUCUUGCGGAUGCUUGGUCCUUCGAACUCAAACCUUGAUUUAAGACAUUGGAGCAUAUAUAUUGUUCUGUUGAAACAAUCUUCUCCAAAACCAAAGCUCAUCAGAUGCAAACUAGCAUUCAUGCAAAUAAGAAUGAAGAUGUCUAAACGUUUCCAUCGAUAGAAUUCAUAGGAUGCUCAAUGCAUUGGUCAGGAAAAUCACUCCUUACAUAGUCCAGCAUGCUAAACACUCUUAGAAGAAAAAAGGUUUACAUGGCAACACACGCUUCAAGUCGUACGAUAAGAUACUUAAAAUGGUAACAGCAAAGGAAAAAUGUUCUGGUAUGAGAGUGAUAAUCCAAGAUGUUUAGAAGCAGUCCAAUUGAAAUAGAACAACAACAACAAGAAGCCCAGUGUAUCUGGGGAGGGUAAAAUGUACACAGUCCAUACCCCUAUCCCCGAAGAAGUAGAGAGGUUGUUUCCGGUAGACCCCCGGCAAUUGAAAUAGAAGAACAUCAAUAAAAAUAAGUUUAUCAAAUACGUUAUGAUGGAACACCUCAUAUGAUGUAGCUCACUGCCGAAACUAUGAGGAGAACUAUUCAAUUAGACAAAAAUCUAGCAAGUACCAGAUAUUGAAUGUAUGUAUUAUUCUGAAUUGCUUUAUAUUUCAUAAACACGAUGUUCCUUGGUUGAAGUUUUGGUUUGUCCCUUUGUUGUUUCGUGAUGUACUUAACGAAGUUGUUGUAACACCCCGUAUUCAAGUACGUGUAUUGGCGUGUUCAAGUACGUGUAUUGGUCUUAUUUAUAUGGAAGUAAUUUGUUUUUUUAUUUAUAUCGGAAUUUGCCCGUCGAUGGUUCCAUACGAAGGUUAUUGAAUAAUCUUUCCAACGAUAUAAAGAUUUCCAAAAACGGAUAGUUUUCGGAUAUAAUCGAGCACGUCCAAAACUAUAAAACGGUGGCCGGGAUAUUUGGGAAUAGUAAAUGUGCAGGAAAAUUUCCUGCACACAAACUACUGAGGCCAGCUGAAUUUUUGGGUCAACUUCGAAUGAUCAUAACUACCUUAAUAUAAUGAAAUGGGAGAGAUGAGACCUAUGAAAAGAAAUAUCUUUGAGUCUUCUUUCCAAUGCAAUUGGUUUCAUCCAAAUCCAACGUCUGAGUAAGGAGUUAUACUCGUUUUACUUUGGCCUAUCAAAACAGAUUUUUUAGGUCAACUUCAAAUGACCAAAACUCCUUGUACAGGACGAACUGGGUGGCCUAUUUUAUAUGAAAUGAAAUCACUUUGAAUUAUCCUUCCAAUAAUACCAAUUUCACUCAAAUCUGAUAUCGGAGCAAAGAGGUAUGGUCGAUCUACUUUAGCUUAUCUAAACAGUCCACCAAAGGACAGUUUUGACAUUAUUUAAAUUUUAAAGGCAUUUUGGUCAUUUCCUAUUAUAUUAUGGACUGGAAUAUGUGUAUAUAUACAUGUAUCUGAGUUCAAAAACUCAUUUUCAUUAUCAAUCAUUGAGAAAGAAAAAACCCUAGCCAAAUUUGACCUUUAAAUUACUUUUGAUUCAACCGUAGAAAUUCCAAAGUAAUCCGAUAACUGCGUUUGUCAUCUUGAGAGCUUCGAACGGCACCUAUUAUUUGUGAAAAUAGGAUUGCAUAAUCAAGAGGUGAAUUCUAAGGUAUGAAUAUUGUUUGCCUUUGUUCUCUUCCAUAUGUAUAUGUGUGAUAGAGGAUUAUAUGUAUUGGUUGUUAUUGAACGGUGAUGGAAAUAGGGUUAUGGACUAUUUUGCAUGGUUUGGUUGUAUUGAAUUGUGGAAGGUGGAUAUGGUAAUUGAGUUAUGGAAGGUGGAUAUGGUGAUAUACUAUUGAAUUGAUGAUUAUUUAUGUCUAUGGCUCAAUUUGGUUUAAUGGAUUGGUUGGAAGGAUAAAUGAAUCCAAACUUGAUAUUGGAGGAUGUUGUAUGAAUAUGCAUGGCAUGUGAAUGUAAUUGGAGUAUAAGAGGGUUAAAGUGACACCCUUUAUGGUGUAAUUAAGGCUUACUACUUAACCACUAGUUUGGUGAAUUCAAAUAAUUGAAUUGUGAUGUUUGGUCGCUAAUACUAGAUUGCUAUAUAUGUUCAUUGUAGAUAAGUAAUCCGAAAAGACGGGAAGUCCAUUUGGGACUAGUAUUGAAGGUUGACAGUCAGGUAUGUAAAGCAUACUCUAUACCAUAUCUUUGGCAUGAAAGUGAACAAUUGUUUUAUUAAGAAAGUUUCCAAAGUUAUUCAGUAACAUGUGAUCCAUAAUGAUUUUGUAUGAUGUCCUACGUUACUAAUGAACUUGUUUCCACCCUACAAGAUGUCAAGACAUUCCAAUACUUACUUGUUUUCCAAAUCUUACAUGUUUAUUACACUAAUGAAUGUCAGAAGGUAUCCGGUUACUCAAACAAGAUCCAUGUGCUAUUAAUGACUCCAAAAUGUUUCAUUGAUAUACUAAUAAGUUCCUACUUCAUUGUUAUGGCAUUGAUGACUCCAAAACGCUUCAUUGAUGUGCCAAUGAGUUCUUAUAUCAUUGUUAUUGCAUUGAUGGUCUAUUUAUAUGUCUCUAAUUGAUGUAUCAUUGUUUCAAAGUAUCAAAAAUGCGGUGGCGACCGAAAUAACAAUCUCAAAAAUUAAUUGAACUAAGUGAUGGAAGUUCUCUCUUAUCAGGUGGUAUCCCAGGGACAUAAGCCUAUCAUGGGUUGAUCCCUAUUUAUGUGUUUAUGGGUGGUAACCCAAGGGCAUAAGCCUAUCUGGGUCAAUCCCAGUUGAUAUGUACUGAAGGAAGCCUAAUGGUCACAGUACAGUACUGUAAUUAUUACAAAGAUGAUAAGUACGAAUGUAAAGUGAUUGAAUAAAUACAAUGUACAGGUUGUCACAAGUUCUAGUAUGUAUGGUCCACUCCUAUUACGAUUUAUUCACUUGUUUCUAAUUUUUAUUGAGAUCCUAUAUCAUAUGUGAUUAUCUACAGCUUUACAUACUCAGGACAGAUUUUGUACUGACGUCCCCCACAGGGGACCUGCAUUUUAUGCUGCAGGCACAAGUACCUCAGCUCAUGCACCGCAUAAGUAGGAUUCAGGAUAUCCAGCUGCUUUUGGUGAGCUCCAGUUUGCUUCAGGGCUUUCCGUGUCAUAUCCAAUCACUUUUGGUAUUUUAUAAAAGUUAGUUAUAUGGCAGGGUGUGUCCCGACCUUAGUUAAACUCUGCGUAUUUUCUAGAGGCUUUGUAAACCUAAUGUACAGUGAAGGUGGUGUUUUGUUAAUAGACGUAAUGGCUAUAAUGGUCAAGUAUUGUAUAUACAUAUAUAUGUGUGCUCGAGCUUAUACAGGUGAUUAUUUCCUUUUAUAUACGAUAUGAUGCUGUCCAAAUUUUGGGUUGUCAUAGAGGUAUGCAUGGGAAAUAUAAGGUGAUGAGCUAGUUCUCCCGGGCCUCCUCGAUUACGGGUGCCAGUCUGCCCCAAUAGGAUUUGAGGAGUGACACUUAUGGUGUUGAACUUGACUUGUUACUUGUAGAAAUGGAGUCAUCUAAAGAGACAGGUUGUCGAGCUCUAGAAGACCCUGUCCUCUGCAUCAACGACUGUGAUUUUUUUUUGUAGUGCAGCUAUGAUAAAUAUGUUUUCCAAGUGUCAAAAGGACAUGAUACUACUGAAGUAGGAACAUGCAAAGCUUGCAGAUGCAUCCAUCAAAGAUGUCGUAUGAAGAAGCUCAAGCAGCGAUGAAUCAGAAUAUGCUCUUGCAGGUGCCGCGGUUACAUCUGCAGAUUUAGCCUCUCAGAUGUCACAAGUGAAGUCAAAAGAGGGUUUGAAAAAGUGCACGGCUUGUCGUAAGCAUGUGGGAUUAACGGGGUUCAGUUGCAAAUAUGGUGGUCUUUUCUACACAGUUCAUCAUUAUUCAGACAAACACAACUGCCCAUUUGAUUAUAGGAAUGCUGGUCAGAAUGCAAUAGAAAAAGCAAAUCCUAUCAUCGUAGCAAAAAAGCUUAGUAAGAUCUAACAAGCACCUAUCGAAAGGUUGUAUGAACUGAAGCAAUGUCCAUCUAUCGAUAAGUUGGCCUCGUCUUACAGGGUGACGAUGAAAGUUUUGCAUGGGGGUGGGGGUGGGGGGUACCCUAGAGUCUAGAUAAUCUUGGUGUGUAAGUUAUUUAUGAUCUUGGUGCACAUUUUCAUGGAAUUUGUUCUUGUUUUGUCCCCAUUUCUGGGCUCCUUGUCUAGUAUAAUAUGCAUAAUGUAGGUCAUCUUGAUGAAUUUCACAUUCAUACAACCGCGUUUUGAAAUCCUAAAUUCGCCUCUGUGCAUUCUUCAAUUUUCCAAAGUCUCCUUUGAGUAUCAAUAAUGUAGAGUUUUUUUUUUGUAGAGAUGUCAAUACGGGUUGGCUCAGCCCAUCCGAGCUAGCCCACAUGGGCUUUGAGUUUGACGGAUUAGGUUGGGCUACCCUAUCAAAAUGAUGAGCCAAAAAAUAUCAAGCCCACACUACUACUUUAUGGGUUGCGGGCCUUACAGGCCAGCCCACUUUAAAAAAAAUAAUAUUUUAUAAUUUAAUUUUAGAAUGUUAAUAGACAUAAAUAUUACCAAUCAAUAUUACAUAGUAUUAAUACUUUUUAAUUAAGUAUCCAAAACCCCCCAAAAUACUCAUAAUAGCGAAAUUAAAUAACUUUUGACAUGUGUUCUGCCCUAACAUCGUAAAAGUAAGGUUUAAGCUAUAGAACUAGAUACAUAAGAGAAAGAGAGGAGAGCAGAACUUUAAUUCUUUGCUGAGGCACAUGAUAUCCUUCGAACCAAAUAAGAAUACUACUCCCUCCGUCCCAAAUUAUGUGUCGCCAUUUCCUUUUUUGUCCGUCCCAAAAUAAAUGUCCUCUUUCCUUAUUUGGAAUUUUUGUAAAGGCACAAUUACCUUUUUACCCUUAUUGGACCCACUUGAUUUUAAAUAUAUUAAUACUUCUUUUUUAGGAAUUGUUUUUUUAAAGUAAAAGUCAUAUCACUUCAAUCAAAAUUCAAACUUUCAGCCUUUUAUUUUUAUAGUAUCAAAAUUAUUUUAAACCACAGAGAGCAAUUUAUUAUUUUUGGUUGGUUCUACAUAAGUAAACCAGUUUUCUUUGACAACUCAUUGUUCACAUUACUAUGAUUUCUUGAGUAAAAAUUGGAUCUUUAAAGCUAAAGUUAAAGAAACAAGAAUUUAGAGGGAUCCCAUUUUCCACAUAUAUCAUCUUACAAUUGGAAAAAGUAACAAACACAACUACAAAGAUCAAACUUCUUUUGUUUAGAACUGAAAAUUGAUUGAGACAGUGAGCUACCCAAGAGACAACAUCCUUCUCCGCUAUUUUCUCUAAUGCGUGAUAUGCCUCGUCAAUAAUUCAGACUAACAGUACAUUGAUAGGAGUGCAUUUCCGACAUAGUACAUGAUAUGAUAUCCUACAUUAACAAGUCAGUCGUGUAAUUUGCUUUCCAAAUUCGAAUGCAGCAACAUCAAGUAAGAAAAUAUUGUAUGUAUGAACAAGCAGUACAACAAGCAUAUUUUUUACAAACUCUAAACAUGAGUAGAAAAUGUCCAUUUCACUUUGUCUUGAUGAAUGUUUGAUCCAUUUAGAAGCACCAUGAUCUGAAGUUCACUUCACAGCAAACUGUUUUCUGUUAAUCUUUCGAGUAUUGAAUAUUGUCGACCUCAGCUUCAACGUACUUCCACUUUAUGUGUAUUACCAUAAAAAUGAAAAUACACAACAAAACAAUUUCCUACAAUUUUGUUUUUAGUUUCUGCACUUAUUUACUCCCGCACCGAAUACUUAGUUUCCAAAAAAUAUCAAGCUGAUGCAAUGCACCUCUCGGAGAGCUCUUCAAGAAUCCAGUCUUCAACAACCACCAUAAAACAGUAAAGUUAACUGCCCGACCUUUUCAUUUUUAUAGGUAGGUCAACACAGAUGACACACUCCUAUUUGCUUUCCUACCAUUCACAACCUUAUGUUUCUCCUUUCUCAGCUCUCUCUUCACCAGAAGUACAUAGGCAAGCCCAUGUUCUGUGAUAUAUCAACAUCAACAUAGAUCAUCACACUGUCAGCUUAUGAUUAAAUGUUCAUUAACUCGACAACAGUGAGAGUGAGUCACAAAACUCCAAAUUUAACAAACAUAGCACGGAAGUAACCAUUGUCUCAAUGAAUAACAUCCUAAAGUGAGGAUAUCAAUACCAAGAAAACUUCAGAUGCAAACUUUCAAAUACAGUGUACACCAGUCAACGGCCAUAAACAGUAAAGUAUAAAUAGAAAAAACAAAUCAAUGACAUGAAAGAAAAAUAAAUGUCACAGAUAAAGGACAAUAAAUUUUAUCAAGAGUAAGGAUCAAGAAAGACUAAAGUCUCAUGAACGUGAUAGUGGUAGGAUAUCUGACAGGGAAAGGGAGUAAGAAGACUUUGAACGGCACAAGAAAAAGUAUAAGGAAAGGAUUCAUCAUUCAAUAGACAAAGGUCACUCGAAGAAACAAAAACAUGACUCUUCUUGGGAUCGUGUACCAAUCUUAUUCAUCACGAGAGAAGAAUUGUAACAGACACCAUUAGCUUAGAGCAGCCUGGCAAAAUGUUACCAUCCCCAAUAUGUUGUCUUUAUGGAGCGUAGCUACUGCUCUUUGCAUAAUAGCUGAGGGUGCCUCCUUUAUUAGUGAAACUGUACCACACCCUUUUGCAUAAACCAAGGUCUCUAAUAAUCGCGACAUUGAUUUCAACUAUUUUCAUUUAGUUCCCCUGAACAAUUGACAUCCCCAUGCUGUCCAAAUAUAUUUGGUCUGCACAAACUCUUUAACAUUAAAUUAAUUGUUCUCGAAAUAGACUUCCUAGUUUAAAAAUAAAAAUUUAUACAAAUGUGACGGUAUGACUCCCACUUCCCUUUUCUCCUUCCUUCCAUUUACGCAGCCAUCUAUUAUGUAAUAAGAAAAUAAGAAACAAAUAGAAGCAUAAAACAACAAUAAAGCUAGAAAAAGACGUGUAAGUAUAUAUAAGCUGGUGGGACUUAUAUCAUUGUAAGUAGAGUUAUUCAUGAGUACAAAAAAUACAUUAUGAUCACCAUGUCUGUACACAAAAAUAGUACUCCUAACAUAUUUCACAAAACAUCAUUCUAAAAGUUACAUGAUGAUCACUACGGCUAUACACAGAAGUAGUACAGUACUUCUACAUACUACUUGAAAAAACACCAUUCCAACUUGAAAAUAAAGAGCUUUACCAUAAUAAUAACUCAUAUCAUUGUUGAAGUAGAGACAAAUCUUUAUUGAUGAUAUUAAUAUCACAAUAAAGUUGGAGAGGAAGGUUUUCUUCUCUUACUAGUCCAUUUUUGUUCAAAUGAGGCACUUUGUAAUUAUUGCCGCCACUAUCUUUCAUCACCUCAAUCAUACAAGAUUGUAAAGUAAGAAACACAUGAUUGAGUUGUUUCGCUUUCAUUUCAUCAAAAGAUCUUUCCACUGCUUCCACUAAUUCAUCAACAUUUUUAGGGGCCUUUUGAUAUUGAAGACUUUGGAUUGCUUCUAAAAAACCAAGAUCUAAAACAUUUAAAUCUGGACUGUUCGAUGGUUGAAAACACAAUCUAAUGUCAAAUCCAUCUUAUCGGGCAGCUUCAAUAAAUUCCAAAUCAUUGUUACCAAUAUGUGGCCUUGCAUUAUCUUGUGAUAAAAAGAUAGGAUUAUUUGAAUCGGAAGCUGGCCAUUUUUCUCUAAUAGCAGGAAGAACUUUCACUAUCAAGCAAGCUCUAGUAAUAUCAUUAGUUACUAACUGAAUGGGCUUUGUUUCCAUAGUUCCUGUUGUUCAAUUUUUGCUUUUCCGCUUAGCUGGUUCCAUAACUACAACGAAAAAAUACCUAUUUUUCCAGAAAACAACUCAAUUCCAUUUUCAUCAAAUCGAGGACGUGCUACAGAAGCCAUAAACAUAACCUUUGGAAUAAAAUUUUCACUUUUGUAAGAACGAUACGGAUCUUGCUAAUGGUCUCCAGGAAGCAGGUAGUACCUUUCAACUUUUUUGGACAAAAAAAUCACUUUUCGUCGAUAUGAACAUAAUUAAACAUAUUCAUAAACAUGGGAUUUAUGUGGAUUGUAUUCUGAUCAAUCAUUUAGAGGCAGUAUUGAAGUCGUACCUUUUUGUUUCCUUCGGUUAACUGAGGCUUGAUGGAAUUAGAAUGUGUCCGAUGAUGAUUAUGCCAUGUUCAUCGCAAAAGCCAGAGAUCGAAUAUUUGUUCGACGACAAAGUGGAAUUUCUUUGACUUGAUUAAUGUCGACUCCAAUCCGUUUUCUUCCAACUUCACCUGUAAGUCUUAAAGACACAUCUAACGAUGACAUACCAUUAUCAACUGAUGAUUGACAUUGUUUCCAAAUGCGCUGAAUAGUUCUUAUUGAUUUCUUGAACAACAUCACAGCCUGUGUUAUAGAUCCGUAUUUAAGACUUCCUUCCUUAAUUUCUUGCAAAAGAAACUUUGCAAUUUCUUGAUGUUCUUCUAAUUUCAAUCAUUUAUUUCUAAAGGUUGAGUCUAUAGGUAUGACGAACCUCAUCUUUAGAGUAAUGGCAAAAGUAACAGAGGAGAUAAAAGGAAGAAUUUGGAAAUUAUCCAAAACAAAAGAAAGGAUACACUAACCAGAAGAUGCAAAAGAACAUCUCUCAAAUGAAAUGAAGAUUUGGCACCAUGAAAUAACCAUUUGCUAAAAAUUCAAAUGAAAAGUAGGUUUAGCACCCAAAAAUUGAAACCAAAAUCAAAUCAGAAACGUAAAUUUUUCGUGGAAAAUCCAUACAUGAUGGCAAAUUGGUCCUAUUUUCUAGAAAAUUGAAUUUUGGAAUAAUAAAUUUUUCUUAAUUGUUGAUAGAGAAAAUGAGAGUAAAAUUUUAAAUUAAAGCGAUACACUGAUUUGGACAACUUAACUCUUUGCAAAAGGUAGAGACAGUUAUGUAGGCGGUGUAUUUUUUUAUUAGAUUUUUUUUUAAUACUGUACUCUCUGUUACAUUUUUUUAAUUAUUGUGAAAUUUAAUAAAAGUACCUAGUGGUCCAAUACUUUUUUAAGAGGGAUAAUUUAGUAACUUUAGCAAGGUCAAUGCCUAUUUCUUAAAUAUCAUGGCCGGUCAAAUGGCGACAUAUAAUUUGAGACGGAGGGAGUAUUAUGAUAUUCAAUGCUCAUCAAUCCAUAAGCAAAUUACUUUCUAUAGUUCCCAGUAGGUUACAAUGCGUUGGUCCGAUUCAAACUUAUUGCUCUAUACAACUCUUAAGAAAAAUUUAUAAAAUCAAUUUUCUGUAAAUAGAAAAUGUAAAUCAAAAAUCAAUCUUUAGAGCAAGCAAAAAGGACCAAAGGGUAGCAAAAAUUAAUUAGUAUCACAGAACAAGAAGAUAUCCAAAGGAUAAUUGAAUUAGUUAGUACCAUAACAAUAUUAACUACAGAUCUAGAGAAAAUAGAUUAAAAGUUGAUUUAAUUAAUUUGUAUAAUAGUCAAUAAUAGUAACAGAUUUGAAAUAAAAGGAUUAAGGCUUGAAAUAGUUCGCAUCAUGUAUCAUAUAUAUAACAAACAUCAAAUGAGAACUUGCUCAAAAACUUGCUCCACCAUCAAAGAUGCACUUACCAAAAACAAAUCAUGAUGGACUAAUAAAAAUUGAGAUUAAGAAUAUGAAUUUUGCUUGAAACUUGUGUUUUGGUGUCAAGGUGCGCAGGGAAUACAGUGGAGAAAGGAAAAACAUAGAAAAUGAAUAUGAAAGUAGAUUUUGGGAAAGUAAAAUAGUAGAGGCAAAAGACACGGUAAAGUGUCAUUGAUUGGAGGAUUUAGUUACCAAAAUACCCUUACUGUUGGUGUUGUUAACGAAAAUAUCCUCAAAUAAGACAAAAUAGUAGUAACUAAAGUCUUCAUUUAUAUAAAAGAUUAAAAUAUAAUCAUUAUUAUUUUAAAAAAAAUGUAUAAAUUUUAGUAACGAAAAAUAUAUUAGUGAAAUUACUUUUAACCUUGCAAGAGUAAAGAAUUUAUUAAGGAGUGUGUCCAAUUCAAAUGGGGUAAAUAGAAAAGAUUGAAAGGUUUAUUCAACUGUUUUACAUUGAGUCCACUUAAUUCAUUGAUAUUUUAGACAAUACUUCCUCAAUAUUCAUAAUAAAUGAAUUGUUUAGAUAUUGUUGAUAUUUAAGGUAAUUUAAUUGUUUCAAUAAUAAUGUUGAAAUUUUAAUUUAUUCAUAUACUUCAUUUUUGUGUUUCUUAUGUCAUGAAUUUAAGAAAUUUAAUUGUUCUUAUUUCUUUAUUGUUUUGAAUUAGUUUUUUAAAAGUCAGUAUUGGAAGCCAAUUUUGACACUGUGAUGUUGACACCCAAAUUUGACCUCCCGAAACUACAUUUAGUCUGUUAUUUUAACAAAAUCGUUAAUUUUUAAACAUUAGUAUUUUUGCACAUUUUCUUGCAUCAAACAGAUUUCCGACAAAUCGCAUUCAUAAUUUAGAAAAUGCAUAAAUCAUCGAUUAUCUUUUAGAAUCAUAUUUUUAUAAUAUUCUAAAAUUUAAAAUGACAUUUUUAUAAUUUUAUUAAUUAAAUUAUUUUCACGUAAUUAUGCACACUCACAAUUUUGUAAAAUACAUUGUCUAGUUUUACUUUAUUUAAUACUAUUUAUUGAUAUUAUUAUUUAUUGACAUUGUUAUUAUAUAUAUUAAUAUUAUUUAUUAUUUAUCAUUUAUUAUUAUAAUUUAUUGUUUAAUUAUUACUUUUUUCAUUAUUAUUAUUUAUCUUUUAUUAUAUUUAUUAUUAUUUAUUAUUUAAUAUUGAUGUUUAUUAUUUAAUUACUAUUAUCAUAUAUUAUUAUUAUUCCUACUUUAAUUCAAAUAACAACCUAAUCAAAAUUACCUUGCAUGAUUUUGCUUACCUUUUAAUCCAAUUUUAUUUAAUUUCUUACAAUUAUAGCCUAUUUUUACCCAACCCAUUAUAAUCUUAACCCAAUUUCUUACAAUUUAAGCCAUUAUUUUUUAUCCUAGCCACAUUUUAAUUCCCCCAUGACAUUAAAUCACAGAUGUCAAACAAAAACCAAUCCAACAGUUGACAUCAAAAGAUCUCUCUUUGCUUAUUUCAAAUGUGACAUCAAAAGCCACAUUCUACUUUCUUUCUGAUAUUUUGUUGGGUUUUUGCUUUUUUUCUUGCAUGAAAAUGUAAGUUCUUUUUCCCCAUUUUCUUUUUUUGGGCCAAGGAGAGUGAGUGAUGUGGUGGGCAGAGGGGCCGGUGGGGGGGUCUUUUGUUUAAUUCUUUCCAAAUUAAUGUGAAGAUAAUGUUUGAUAGAAUCUUAUUGGGAAGACAAAGUGUGUGAAUCACAUUCAGCAGAGUGGGAGAAAAGAUGAAGAAAUUUAAGAGAGGAUUUUGAAGGAUGAAUGAUAGCUCAGCUAGAGAAAUGAAUGAGAGACAACUUCAAAGGACGUGUGGUUGUGUGGGCAUUUUCUUUAAGCUCUUUGAUCAGAACUGUAGAUUUGCCAAGAAGCUGUUUCUAAAGAAACUGCUUUCGCCAGGUUAGCUACGACUACAUUCCACUCAUUUUUAAAGCGGAAUGGUUAAUUUCUUGAAGGUGAUUCUAGCUACAGGGCUAAAUUAUUUCUUUUUUUAUGCUGCAUUCUUAUAGCUUGCUUGAAACAAGCUUCAAAAAAGUUUGGAGGGGAUGAGAAGUAGCCAAAGCUUCGUUUGGUACUCAUUUCUUGAACUAUACUCCCACAUUUAGCUUUNNNNNNNNNNNNNNNNNNNNNNNNNNNNNCUGACAGGAAAGUUUUUGUCUUUAUUGUUUUUGGUUCUUGUAUGAACAAUGUAGAUUGCUGAUGAGAACAGUGGGGGUUUUCCAAAUGCAACGAAUAAUGGAAUGACCGAUACAUGUUGUGAAAGCAAGCGCGAAAUGAAAGCUCCAAGUUUGGUUGCUAGGCUCAAGGGUUUGGAAUCGAUGCCAGCAGGAUCAAGCAGUUAUCCCCAAAAGGCUUCAGCUUCUGAAACUUGGAGCAAUGUGGCAGACAAAAGGUUUGGAUUUCAUACAUCCAUGCUUCUAAUAAAUAUGAUGCUUGUUUUCUUCCAGAGGACAAAAUGCUUGCUGAAACAGUGGACUCCGUUGAUGAUGAAUCACUCUUUACAGAACCUGAUAGAGAUCUUUCGGAUUGUGAGACCUCAUUAUCCACCAGGAGGAGUUGCAGAGAACUGAUUCAUAACGUUUCUGGAGUUCUCAGCAAGAUUGAUCAGUUAAACGGAAGCAAACUCAGCUAUGUAAAACAGAGGAUGGGAUCUCUGUGAGCCAUUUUCUCCUCAAUGAACAUGAAAUGUUUUCGAGUUUUCUGUGGAUGGCUUUCGGUGAGUUGCUUGGCUAUAAUGACCCAAAAUAGAAGAAUCAGCUUAAAGGAUUCGCCUUUGAUUGUCUAUUAGAGUACCUAGACUCAAAAUUUUCUCCAAUCUCUGAUUCUGGUUUCAGAACCUGUACCAAACUACCAUCAAGUAUGAUCAAAGAGAUUCUGAUUGUUGAUAUUAUUGAUGAGGUCGAAGAGUGGACGCAAUUUGUUGGUUUGAUCCCAGACGAGCUAAUAGAAUGGGAUAUGAGCCAUUCUUUGGGUAAAUGUAAGGACUUCGAGAUUGAAGAAUAUGAAUGUGGCACUGAUGUUGCUAAGCAUAUUCUACAAGAAUUAGUAGAUGAAGUUGUUUUAGACCUCUAUAGUUCUAGCUAAAUUUGGUGGAACUGUUAGUAGCUCCUCUCUUUGAAACUUUGUUGCAAGCCUAUCAGUGUUGUUCUCAUGUGAUAACUCUUGACUCAAUAAAGUCAAGCAAAGUAUUUUGUACAAAUCAUUGAUUCUGCAUCUGAUAUGACUUAUUGUAUUUGUGCUUUUGCAUUUAUGAAUAUUAAGAACAAUCCCUUCGUGAACAUCUGUUUGAAGUAGAACAUUACAAGCACAAAAUGAAAAAUAGUUGAAAUGUAAUAACAAUUUGAAAGGAAACCCAAUAAGCCUAAAUGGAUCCAUAUGCAAAAAUCUGUUACUACCUCCGACCCAAAUUAUGUGUCGCCCGUCCCAAAAUAAAUGUCGUCUUUCGUUAUUUGGAAAUUUUUCAAAGGCACAAUUACCUUUUUACCUUUAUUGGACCAACUUGAUUUUAAAUAUAUUAAUACUUCUUUUUUAGUAUUUGUUUUUUUAAAGUGAAAGCCUUAUCACUUCAAUCAAAAUUUAAACUCUCAACCUUUUAUUUUUACAGUAUAAAAUUUAUUUUAAACCACAGAGAGCAAUUUAUUCUUUUUGGUUGGAUAAACCAGUUUUCUUUAACAACUCAUUGUUCAUAUUACUGUGAUUUCUCGAGUAAAUAAAAAUACAUUCAAAUGUGACGGAAUGACUCCCACUUCCCUUUGCUCCUUCCUUCCAUUUACGCAGCCCUCUAUUAUGUGAUACGAAAGUAAGAAACAAAUAGAAGCAUAAAACAACAAUAAAGCUAGAAAAAGACGUGUAAGUAUAUAUAAGCUGGUGGGACAUAUCAUUGUAAGUUGAGUUAUUCAUGAGUACAAAAAAUACAUUAUGAUCACCAUGUCUGUACACAAAAAUAGUACUCCUAACAUAUUUGACAAAACAUCAUUGUAAAAGUUACAUGAUGAUCACUACGGCUAUACACAAAAGUAGUACAGUACUUCUACAUACUACUUGAAAAAACACCAUUCCAACUUAAAAAUAAAGAGCUUUACCAUAAUAAUAACCCAUACCAUUGUUUAAGUAGAGCCAAAUCUUUAUUGACGAUAUCAAUAUCACAAUGAAUAUGGAGAGAAAGGUUUUCUUCUCUUUCUAGUCCAUUUUUGUUCAAAUGAGGCACUUUGUAAUUAUUGCCGCCACUAACUUUCAUCACCUCAAUCAUAAAAGAUUGUAAAGUAAGAAAUACAUGAUUGAGUUGUUUCACUUUCAUUUCAUCAAAAGAUCUUUCCACUGCUUCCACUAAUUCAUCAACAUUUUUAGGGGCCUUUUGAUAUUGAAGACUUUGGAUUGCUCUAAAAAGCCAAGAUCUAAAACAUUUAAAUCUGGACUGUUAGAUGGUUGAAAUCACAAUCUAAUGUCAAAUCCAUCUUGUCGGGCAACUUCAAUAAAUUCCAAAUCAUUGUUACCAAUAUGUGACCUUGCAUUAUCUUGUUGUAAAAAGAUAGGAUUAUUUGAAUCGGAAGCUGGCCAUUUUGCUCUAAUAGCCGGAAGAACUUUCUCUUUCAAGCAAGCUCUAGUGAUAUCUUUUGUUACUGACUGAAUGGGCUUUGUUUCCGUAGUUCUUACUGUUCAAUUUUUGCUAUUCCGCUUAACUGGUUCCUUAACUACAAACAAAAAAAUACCUAUUUUUCAAGAAAACAACUCAAUUCCAUUUUCAUCAAAUUGAGGACGUGCUACAACAGCCAUAAACAUAACCUUUGGAAUAAAAUUGUUACUUUUGUAAGAAUGAUACAGAACUGGCUCAUGCUCUCCAAGAAGCAGGUAGUACCUUUCAACUUUUUUGGACAAAAAAAACCACCUUUCGUCGAUAUGAACAUAAUUAAACAUAUUCAUAAACAUGGGAUUUAUGUGGAUUGUAUUCUGAUCAAUCAUUGAGAGGCAGUAUUGAAGUCGUACAUUUUUGUUUCCUUCUGUUAAUUGAGGCUUGAUGGAAUUAGAAUGUGGCCUAAGAGUUUCAUCUUUCACACGCCGAAAGACGGUUGAUUUUUCCAUGUUCAUCGCAAAAGUCAUAGAUCGAAUAUUUGUUCCACGACAAAGUGGAAUUUCUUUGACUUGAUUAAUGUCGACUCCAAUCCCUUUUCUUCCAACUUUACCUGUAAGACUUAAAGACACAUCUAACGACGACAUACCAUUAUCAACUGAUGAUUUACAUUGUUUCCAAAUGCGCUGAAUAGUUCUUAUUGAUUUCUUGAACAACAUCGCAGCUUGUGUUAUAGAUCCGUAUUUAAGACUUCCUUCCUUACUUUCUUUCAAAAGAAAAUUUACAAUUGCUUGUUGUUCUUCUAAUUUCAAUCGUUUAUUUCUAAAGGUUGAGUCUAUAGGUAUGUCGAACCUCAUCUUUAGAGUAAUGGCAAAAAUAAGAGAGGAGACACAAGGAAGAAUUUGGAAAUUAUCAAAAACAAAAGAAAGGAUACAGUAACCAGAAGAUGCAAUAGAACAUCUCUCAAAUGAAAAGAAGAUUUGGCGCCACAAAAUAACCAUUUGCUAAAAAUUCAAAUGAAAAGUAGGUUUAGCGCCCAAAAAUUGAAACCAAAAUCAAAUCAGAAACGUAAAUUUUUCGUGGAAAAUCCGUACAUGACGGCAAAUUGGUCCUAUUUUCUAGAAAAUUGAAUUUUUCAAUAACAAAUUUUUCUUAAUUGUUGAUAGAGAAAAUGAGAGUAAAAUUUUAAAUAAAAGCGAUGCACAGAAUUGGACUACUUAACUCUUUGCAAAAGAGAGAGACAGUUAUGUAUGUGGUGUAUUUUUUUAGUAGAUUUUUUUUUUAAUACUGUACGCUCUGUUGCAUUUUUUUAAUUAUUGUGAAAUUUAAUAAAAGUACCUAGUGGUCCAAUAAUUUUUAAGCGGGGUAAUUUAGUAACUUUAGUAAGGUCAAUGCCUAUUUCUUAAAUAUCGUGUCCGGUCAAAUGACGACAUAUAAUUUGAGAUGGAGGGAGUAUUAUGAUAUUCAAUAUUCAUCAAUCCAUAAGUAAAUUACUUUCUAUAGUUCCUAGUAGGUUACAAUGAGUCGGUCUGAUUCAAACCUAUUGCUCUAUACAACUCUUCAGACAAAUUUGAAAAAUCAAUCUUCUGUAAAUAGAAAAUGUAAAUCAAAAAUCAAUCUUUAGAGCAAGUAAAAAGGACCAAAGGAAAGCAAAAAUUAAUUAGUAUCGCAGAACAAGAAGAUAUCCAAAGUAUAAUUAAAUUAGUUAGUACCAUAACAAUAUUAAUUACAAAUCUAGAGAAAAUAGAUUAAAACUUGAAUUAAUUAAUUUGUAUAAUAGAUCAGUAAUAAUAACAGAUUUGAAAGAAAAGGACUAAGGCUUGAAAUAGUUAGCAUCAUGUAUCAUAUAUAAAACAAACAUCAAAUGAAAACUUGCUCGAAAACUUGCUCCACCAUCAAUGAUGCACUUACCAAAAAUAAAUCAUGAUGGACUAAUAAAAAUUGAGAUUAAGAACAUGAAUUUUGCUUGAAACUUGUGUUUUGGUGUCAAGGUACGCAGGGAAUCCAGUGGAGAAAAGGAAAAACAGAGAAAAUGAAGAUGAAAGAAGAUUUUAGGAAAGUAAAACGGUAGAGGCAAAAGACACGGUACAGAUUCCUUGAUUGGAUAUUUUAGUUACCAAAAUACCCUUACUGUUGGUGUUGUUAACGAAAAUAUCCUCAAACAAGACAAAAUAGUAGUAACUAAAGUCUUCAUUUAUAUAAAAGAUUAAAAUAUAAUCAUUAUUAUUUUACAAAAAAAUGUAUAAAUUUUAGUAAGUAAAAAUAUAUUAGGGAAAUUACUUUUAACCUUGCAAGAGUAAAGAAUUUAUUAAGGAGUGUGUCCAUUUCAAAUGGGUUAAAUAGAAAAGAUUGAAAGGUUUAUUCAACUAUUUUACAUUGAGUCCACUUAAUUCAUUGAUAUUUUAGACAACACUUCCUCAAUAUUCAUAAUAAAUAAAUUGUUUAGAUAUUGUUGAUAUUUAAGGUAAUUUAAUAGUUUCAAUAAUAAUGUUGAAAUUUUAUUUAUUCUUAUGCUUCAUUUUUGUAUUUCUUAUAUCAUGAAUUUAAGAAAUUUAAUUGUUCUUAUUUAUUUAUUGUUUUGAAUUAAUUUUUUAAAAGUCAGUAUUGGAAGCCAAUUUUGACACUGUGAUGUUGACACCCAAUUUUGACCUCCCGACACUACAUUUAGUCUGUUAUUUUAACAAAAUCGUUAAUUUUUAAACAUUAGUAUUUUUGCAUAUUUUCUUUCGUCAAACAGAUUUCCGACAUAUCGCAUUUAUAAUUUAGAAAAUGCAUAAAUCAUCAAUUAUCUUUUAGAAUCAUAUUUUUAUAAUAUUCUAAAAUUAAAAAUGACAUUUUUAUAAUUUUAUUAAUUAAACUAUUUUCACGUAAUUAUGCACACUCACAAUUUUGCAAAAUACAUUGUCUUCUUUUGCUUUAUUUAAUACUAUUUAUUGAUAUAACUAUUUAUUGACAUUGUUAUUAUAUAUAUUAAUAUUAUUUAUUAUUAAAAUUUAUUUUUUAAUUAUUAUUUUUUUCAUUAUUAUUAUUAUUUAUCUUUUAUUAUUUAUUUUAUUAUUUAUUAUUUAAUGUUGUUAUUUAUUAUUUAAGUACUAUUAUCAUAUAUUAUUAUUAUUCCUACUUUAAUUUAAAUAACAGCCUAAUCAAAAUUAUCUUGCAUGAUUUUGUUUACCUUUUAAUCCAAUUUUAUUUAAUUUCUUACAAAUAUAGCCUAUUUUUACCCAAUCCAUUACAAUCUUAACCCAAUUUCUUACAACUUAAGCCAUUAUUUUUCAUCCUAGCCACUUUUUAAUUCCCCCAUGACAUUAAAUCACAGUCGUCGAUCAAAAACCAAUCCAACGGUUGACAUCAAAAGAUCUCUCUGUCCCUAUUUCAAACCUACAAACCCUAACUCAAAUUUUUUCCCCCAACUUCCGUCUCUGUCUCUCCACCUCCCUCUUCUCUCUAUCUACAAACACCUUCAAAUCCCCCCCUCUCCUCCAAUCUCUCCAUCGCCAAUCGACCAUCAAAACUACCCCCUCCGCUCUGAGUCCUCAUCGCCAUGCCGCCAUCUCAGGCGAACAGCCUUUGCCGUCCCCUCUUCCUUCUCCUCCAUUACCCCAGGUGAGUCCAACCGCUGCUUCGAUCACCAGCCCCCUCUCUUCUCGUCCUUCACCGGCAAAUAGCGCCACCAGUGGCGCCGCCAUCAACAGAGAUGGCCAGCCAAGCCUCCACACUGCCGCUCCAUCCUCCGUCGUCUAGUCACCUUCUUUCUCCCCUCUGGUGAAUUUCCAAUAGUCGUGACACAGCCUCGACUCCUCUCCCACAGCGAUACCUCCGGCAAACCCGUUCGGCGUUCCAACCAUACAACCCUUCCCCAUCGAAAAUGAAGAAUCCGUCUACAGGUUUGAUCCCGUGUUCGAAAUAUGUGUGUGAACUUUAGUACUAUUUCUUCAUCUUUGUCUCUCAUAAGUAUAGCCACGUUUGAUUUUUGCUGAACAAAUGUGUUGAUUUUAAGUUUGUGAUUUUUUUUCGACCCUAUUUGCAUGUCCUGCUUGAUUGAAAUUUCGUGACGCUUAACUUGAAUGGUGAGUCAAUUUUUUCGUCUCUCUCUGGGAUGUGCAAACACGCCUAACUUCUUGCAACUUCACAUUUUUUAUGCCUCUUACUCAAUAUGGGUAAUUUUGUAUGGGAAAACCACGUAUGUGAUGAUUCUUCGGAUUUUUUCGUAAAUCAUUAAUAAGGCUAAUAUGUGAAUGUUUUGACUGUUUGGGUAUGAUCUUGUACCAAUUUGAUUUGAGAAAAGCAUCUCAGUAAUUGAUUUUUUAUUUUUUGGAUUUUUUCGUAAAUCAUUAAUAAGGCUAAUAUGUGAAUGUUUUGACUGUUUGGGUAUGAUCUUGUACCAAUUUGAUUUGAGAAAAGCAUCUCAGUAAUUGAUUUUUAUUUUUCUUGCCAUACUUGGUUGACAGACAUCCCCUCACACAUUAAUUAUUGUAAAUUUAAAUACCUCUUCUUGAUUUCAUUUAAUAAGUAGGAAGGAUCUCUUUUUACUUGUUCUAUUCAUGGAAAUUUCAAAUGUUAUAAUAGGGUAUUAUUUAUUUAUGGCAACUAUAGCAUGAUUGGUGGAACGGAUUGAUUUACCCCAUCCAUUUAAGGUAAUAAUCCCCUUAAUUGAUUCAUUAUAUGUUAUUCUUCUUCCAUUAAAUAUUAUUCUUCCUUCAUUAUUUGGGAUUGUGGACGGCCCUCCUCACUAUAUAAACUCACCAUUCUCUUACUCUAAGAGGACAAACUUCUCCUCUGCUAUUACUCCCUCUACUUUCUCUUAAAAGUAUUUUGAUGUUCUUUGGCAGUUUGGAUUUUGAAAAACAUUCGGUCUUGUCCUUGCUGCAAUUGCUUUGGGUUCUAUUAUUAUUGUUUGGUGCCUAAUCGGUUAGUCUCUAUCGACGCAUUCUUUUCUUAUUCUGUAGCAUUUGAGAUAGCAAAGCCUAGAAAGCAUGUAUAUAGGAACUAAUUUAAAAUAAUUAUGAUUUUGCUUUUUUCACUGACAUAAAGAAGAUUAAAAAAAGAAAGAAUAGCUUACUAGAGUGUACUAUAACUAGUUCUAGCUGUUUUCUUGAACAGUAGCACAUUUGGUGCAAGUUGAAGACAUUCUGGGUAUUGCUGUUCGUAUUUUCUUGUUCUGUGUUUGCUUUGUUUGACUGUGGUUUCUCGUGAAAGUUUUGUCAUAAUUGAACACAACUUAGGGUUUGACUUUUCAUAGCUAUUUUCUACUUUCUUUCUGAUAAAGAGGGUGAGUGAUGUGGUGGGCAGAGGGGCCAGUGGGAGGUUCUUUUGUUUAAUUCUUUCCAAAUUAAUGUGAAGAUAAUGUUUGAUAGAAUCUUAUUGGGAAGACAAAGUGUGUGAAUCAAAUUCAGCAGAGUGGUAGAAAAGGUAAAGAAAUUUAAGAGAGGAUUUUGAAGGAUGAAUGAUAGCUCAUCUAGAGAAAUGAAUGAUAGUUUAGCCGCUAUUACUGAAAGACAACCUCAAAGGCCUUGUGGUUGUGUGGGCAUUUUCUUUCAGCUCUUUGAUCAGAACCGUAG